Molecule: transfer RNA, 74 nt
Filed under: Nonomuraea soli
Lineage: Bacteria; Bacillati; Actinomycetota; Actinomycetes; Streptosporangiales; Streptosporangiaceae
Description: Nonomuraea sp. YIM 120770 tRNA
Rfam family: tRNA
About the family: Transfer RNA (tRNA) molecules are approximately 80 nucleotides in length. Their secondary structure includes four short double-helical elements and three loops (D, anti-codon, and T loops).
Source: Rfam by way of RNAcentral
GGGGCGGUAGCUCAGCUGGUCAGAGCAGUGGACUCAUAAUCCAUGGGUCGCGGGUUCAAGUCCCGCCCGCCCUA